GAUAAGCGCUGGCGGCGUGCCUUAUGCAUGCAAGUCGUACGUGAGACCGGCUUCGGCCGGUUGAAAGUGGCGAACGGGCGAGUAACACGUAGGAACCUGCCCGGAAGUGGGGGAUAACUCCGCGAAAGCGGGGCUAAUACCGCAUGUGGUCGCAAGACCAAAGCUUCGGCGCUGCCGGAGGGGCCUGCGGCGGAUUAGCUAGUUGGUGGGGGAACGGCCUACCAAGGCGACGACCCGUAGCUGGUCUGAGAGGAUGGUCAGCCACACUGGAACUGAGACACGGUCCAGACUCCUACGGGAGGCAGCAGCAAGGAAUUUUGCGCAAUGGGCGAAAGCCUGACGCAGCAACGCCGCGUGGGGGAAGAAGGCCUUCGGGUUGUAAACCCCUUUUGCGAGGGAAGAAGAUCUGACGGUACCUCGCGAAUAAGCCACGGCUAACUACGUGCCAGCAGCCGCCGUAA
RNAcentral lists this ribosomal RNA (461 nucleotides) under uncultured bacterium. RNAcentral's name for it is "partial 16S ribosomal RNA". It matches the Rfam family "Bacterial small subunit ribosomal RNA", at positions 28 to 523 of the family's 1533-position model. The record is from RNAcentral.